This 332-nucleotide ribosomal RNA is filed under the name uncultured bacterium. RNAcentral describes it as "bacterial SSU rRNA". It matches the Rfam family "Bacterial small subunit ribosomal RNA", at positions 568 to 898 of the family's 1533-position model. The record is from RNAcentral.
CGCGUAGGCGGUUUGGUGAGUCUCGACCUAAAUCUCAUCGCUCAACGAUGAAAUCAGUUGAGAUACUGCCAAACUAGUGGAUGGCAGGGAUAAGCGGAAUUCCCGGUGUAGGGGUAAAAUCCAUUGAUAUCGGGAGGAACACCAGUGGCGAAGGCGGCUUACUAGGCUAUCUCAGACGCUGAGGCGCGAAAGCGUGAGGAGAGAACGGGAUUAGAUACCCCGGUAUUUCACGCCGUAAACUAUGCUGACUAGCUAUAGGGAGUAUCGACCCUUCUUGUAGCGAAGCUAACGCGUUAAGUCAGCCGCCUGGGGAGUACGGUCGCAAGACUAAA